GAUCCUGGCUCAGGAUGAACGCUAGCUACAGGCUUAGCACAUGCAAGUCGAGGGGCAGCAUGGUCUUAGCUUGCUAAGACUGAUGGCGACCGGCGCACGGGUGAGUAACACGUAUCCAACCUGCCGUCUACUCUUGGACAGCCCUCUGAAAGGAAGAUUAAUACAAGAUGGCAUCAUGAGUCCGCAUGUUCACAUGAUUAAAGGUAUUCCGGUAGACGAUGGGG
RNAcentral lists this ribosomal RNA (224 nucleotides) under uncultured bacterium. RNAcentral describes it as "partial 16S ribosomal RNA". It matches the Rfam family "Bacterial small subunit ribosomal RNA", at positions 15 to 230 of the family's 1533-position model. The record is from RNAcentral.